GCCCUCCGUGGUGCUGGUGGGAGCGGCCCCCUCCCCUCCGCUGAGAGGCCGCCUGGGAGGGAUCGGGGCCACGGCUGGUACCGGGCAGUUCAGUGGUCAGCAGCGACGAGAAGAAGCCAGGAGAGUGGGAGGGGCAGCCGGUGGCAGGGCCCAGAAUCGAUGGGCCGAGGCAGCCGGAAGGUCCUGCGAAUCUGGUUCAGCAAGAUGUCGGUGAAGGAGGGCGCGCAGCGCAAGUGGGCAGCGCUGAAGGAGAAGCUGGGGCCUCAGGACUCGGACCCCACGGAGGCCAACCUGGAGAGCGCUGAGCCCGAGCUGUGCAUCCGGCUCCUGCAGAUGCCCUCCGUGGUCAACUACUCGGGGCUGCGCAAGCGGCUGGAGGGCAGCGACGGUGGCUGGAUGGUGCAGUUCCUGGAGCAGAGCGGCCUGGACCUCCUGCUCGAGGCCCUGGCGCGCCUGUCGGGCCGCGGCGUGGCCCGCAUCUCCGACGCCCUGCUGCAGCUCACCUGCGUCAGCUGCGUGCGCGCCGUCAUGAACUCGCAGGAGGGCAUCCAGUACAUCCUCAGCAACCAGGCCUACGUGCGCCAGCUCUCCCGGGCCCUGGACACAUCCAACGUGAUGGUCAAGAAGCAGGUGCUGGAGCUGCUAGCGGCCCUGUGCGUCUACUCACCCGAGGGCCACGCCCUGACCCUGGACGCCCUGGACCAUUACAAGACGGUGUGCAGCCAGCAGUACCGCUUCAGCGUCAUCAUGAACGAGCUCUCGGACAGUGACAACGUGCCCUACGUGGCCACCCUGCUCAGCGUGGUCAACGCCAUCAUCCUGGGCCCCGAGGACGUCCGUGCCCGCGCCCAGCUGCGCGGCGAGUUCAUCGGGCUGCAGCUGCUGGACGUUCUGGUGCGGCUGCGAGACCUGGAGGACGAGGACCUGCUGAUCCAGCUGGAGGCCUUCCGGGAGGCCAAGGCCGAGGACGAGGAGGAGCUGCUGCGGGCCUUCGGGGGCAUUGACCUCAGCAGCCACCAGGAGGUCUUCUCCUCCCUCUUCCACAAGGUGAGCUGCUCCCCGGUGUCUGCCCACCUGCUGUCUGUGCUGCAGGGCCUCCUGCAUCUGGACCCCACCCUCCGCUCCAGCCAGCUGCUCUGGGAGGCCCUGGAGAGCCUGGUGAACCGGGCCGUGCUCCUGGCCAGUGACACCCAGGAGUGCACCCUGGAGGAGAUGGUCGAGCGGCUCCUGUCCAUCAAGGGGCGGCCCCGCCCGCACUACCUGGACAAGGCCCACAAGGGCGUCCAGGUCAACCUCGGCCAGAGUCGAAGGGGCAGCUCCCCCCAAAACACCGGUGCCCCGACGGUGGGGGUCGGGGGCCAGCAGCCAGCGGCAGCCCUCGCUGGCCUGCACGUUGCCGGCGUCCAGGGCGACAGUGGCAGGAUGGCGCCGCAGCCCACAGCCCCGGAGCAGCUGGAGCCCACCCCGCCCCCAGCUGCCCCCCCACUCCCUGGCACCGCAACCUGGCCCCCGCCCCCGCCCCCGCCCCCCCCACCUCCUCCACCCCCGCCGCUGCCAAGCCUGGGGGCCGCGUUCCCCUCACCCCCACCUCCCCCACUGCCUGGCCCUAGUGGGACCAUACCCCUCCCGCCUCCACUCCCAGGGCUGGGGUGCCCGCCCCCGCCCCCGCCCCCACCCCUGCUGGGUACCUCCGGGCCCCCUGCAGCGGGCGGCGCGGAGGAGAUCAUCGUGGGCCACAGCCUGGGCUCCGCCUGGGUCCCCAGCCACCGGCGGGUGCACCCCCCCACCCUGCGCAUGAAGAAGCUGAAUUGGCAGAAGCUGCCGUCCAGCGUGGCCCGAGAGCGCAGCUCCAUGUGGGCGUCGCUGAGCAGCCCCGACGCUGAGGUCGUGGAGCCUGACUUCUCCAGCAUCGAGCGGCUCUUCUCCUUCCCUGUGGCCAAGCCCAAGGAACAAGCAGCGGCCCCAGCCAGGAAGGAGCCCAAGGAGAUCACUUUUCUGGACUCCAAGAAGAGCCUGAACCUCAACAUCUUCCUGAAGCAGUUUAAAUGCUCCAACGAGGAGGUCACCGCUAUGAUCCGGGCUGGGGACACCACCAAGUUUGACGUGGAGGUCCUCAAGCAGCUCCGCAAGCUCCUUCCCGAGAAGCACGAGAUUGAAAACCUGCGCUCCUUCACAGAGGAUCGGGCCAGGCUGGCCAGCGCUGACCAGUUCUACCUACUCCUGCUGGAUAUCCCCUGCUACCAGCUCCGGGUCGAGUGCAUGCUGCUGUGCGAGGGUACGGCCGUUGUGCUGGACGUGGUGCGGCCCGAGGCCCAGCUGCUGCUUGCUGCCUGCGAGGGCCUGCUCGCCAGCCACCGGCUGCCCGUCUUCUGCCUGCUGAUCCUGAAAAUCGGGAACUUCCUCAACUACGGCAGCCACACCGGGGACGCCGACGGCUUCAAGAUGAGCACGCUGCUGAAGCUGACGGAGACCAAGGCCCAGCAGAGCCGCGUCACGCUGCUGCACCACGUGCUGGAGGAGGUGGAGGAGAGCCAGCCGGACCUCCUGCAGCUGCCCCAGGACCUGGAGCUGCCCUCCCAAGCGGCAGGGAUAAACCUCGACAUCAUCCACUCAGAGUGCAGCACUAACCUGAAGAAGCUUCUGGAGAUGGAGCGGAAGGUGUCUUCCUCCAUCCCAGAGGUGCGGGAGCAGUACUCCCAACGCCUCCAGGCCAGCAUCACGGCCUCCCAGGAGGUGGAGGAGGUGUUCCAGGCCAUCAAGCAGAAGCGGCUGGAGCUGGCCACCUACCUGUGUGAGGACGGCCAGCAACUGUCCCUGGAGGACACGCUCAGCACCAUGAAGGCCUUCCGGGCCCUCUUCAUCCGCGCCCUGAAGGAGAACAAGGACCGGAAAGAGCAGGCGGCCAAGGCUGAGAGGAGAAAGCAGCAGCUGGCGGAGGAGGAGGAGGCCCGGAGGCUGCGGGGCGAGGACGGGGAGCCUGUCAGGAAGGGAGGCGGGAAGCAGGAGGAGGUGUGUGUCAUCGAUGCCUUGCUGGCUGACAUCAGGAAGGGCUUCCAGCUGCGCAAGACGGCCCGUGGCCGAGGGGACACGGCUGCAGACCCCCCGAGGAACAAGGCACCUGCGGCCACCAGGGACCCUGUGGGAGGCACCAGCCUCCCCACGUCUGAGCCUGGUCUCGACGCUGCAGCGGCCAAGGAGCCCCGCGGCUGGGGUCUCGCGGAUGCCGCCCUCAGCAGCCCCCAACCCACUGGAGACUCAUCAGAGAAGGGUGGUCCUGGGUCCCUGGAGAGGCGUUCUUCCUGGUACAUGGAUGCCAGUGAUUUCCUGGCCACCGAGGGCCCCCUGGGCCCCCAGCCCUCUGCAGGGGCCUGGCCAUUGGUGCUGGGAGACAGUCAGGCCCUGAAGCCCCUCAACUUCUCCAGUGACAAGCCCUCCAAAGCAACGGGUUUGAGCCAAGACAGCGAGGAGCCCACGGCCCCUCCGGGCGCCCGCCAGGCCGAGGCUGACACCACAUGCGAGGGCGCGGAGGACGCAGCUGCCCGCAGCCGCGGCGCUGGCCUCCCUGCUGCAGGCCGUGGCGGGGACGGGGACGAAGAUGAGGAGCACACAGCCCCAGACUCCGCUCUGGACACCUCCCUGGACAGGUCCUUCUCCGAGGAUGCCGUGACUGACUCAUCAGGGUCCGGCACCCUCCCCAGGGCCCAGGGCCGGACGUCAAAGGGCACAGGCAGACGAAGGAAGAAGCGCCCCUCCUCCAGGAGCCAGGAAGAGGUUGCCCUUGACCCUGACGGUAGUAAAACAAAAAGACUCUGUGUGAUCCAGUAAGCCCCGGCCGGGGUGACCCCUGGUCCCAGUCUACCUGUCGUAGCCGUUGGCUCUGCUUUUCUGGAAACAAAGUCCUGCCCAGGACCACACGUCCAGCCCCUUUUGUCUUGCAUAACACCGAAGACACGACGUCACUUUGGAGGUGUCCCGUGUGUCCCCCACCUGGGUCCAGCUUGCGCUUAGGGCAGGAAUCCUACGCCCGUGACGCCUCAGGCCCCGGGCCAGAGCCAAGUGAGGGAGGACCCACAGCAGGACCGCUGGACGUGCUGCCGAGCGGGGCUCUUCCGGGGCCAGGCUGGGACCGGCCCCCGGGAAACCAAAACUCUGUGCCUUACCCAGCCAGUGCCGCGGUCUCCCGGAGCCCUGGCAGGGGCUUGCGGCUGGGACCCCAACGGGCACCGGGGCCCGGCCCGCCUAGCGCCUCCCUGGCCUGCCUGAAUGCCCCCGGCCCCUCGCGGUAUGCUUUCCCAACGCCGAUGCCCAGCCCUGACCCCACACCGCAUGCACCAGGCGGCUGCGGGCCCGGGCACCACUGAGCUUGUGACCCGGCACCCAGCUGCUUCUGGGCACAGGCCCUCACAGACCCCCUGCCCCUGAAGCUGCCGUUAGCCGGGGGGGCGGGGGGCGGCUGGAGCCCCGGCGCCACAGCUCGUCCCCCCAGCCCACUCAGGUGGUCUGAAGCAGUCGUGUUUAACUGAAACGGGAUUGCUGAGCGUUUCUCCAGUUCUGUGGUGGCCCAGUCGGGGAUAGGUAGGUGGGUGAGAGGACCCCAGGGCCUUCGGGUAGAGGCGGGCUGUCUGACAGUGCGUGGGAGGGCCAGCGUUCCUCUACUCAGAAUGGGGGGGACCCCAUGGAGUUGACACCCAUCCUAGCAUCUCCAGCCCUGAGGUGGGGAGGGGGUCUGCCCUGGCGGCCACAGCCAGGACCUGGUCCCCUCAUCGACAACACAGCCCGCCCUGCGAGCUGCUGCUGCCACCUCCAGACCCGGCUGGGCUGAGGGGAGGCCGGGAUCCAGGCCUAGGGGACCGGACGGAUCUAGCCAGAGGGGCUGCCGCCUCUCGUCCCUGACCCCGUGGGCCCCCUGCCUGCACUGCGCCCUCGCCCACCCCCCUGCUGUGUGCUGCUGAGACUGGAGGAACUUUGGCCAAUAAAGAGCAAAGCU
Physeter macrocephalus (sperm whale) is the source of this 4987-nucleotide RNA transcript. It is a transcript of the gene named inverted formin 2, with no coding region annotated. The record is from RefSeq and is a predicted model, not a curated record. The transcript has 24 exons. NCBI's taxonomy places the organism in Eukaryota, Metazoa, Chordata, Mammalia, Artiodactyla, Physeteridae.